This 268-nucleotide long non-coding RNA is filed under the name Musa acuminata (dwarf banana). RNAcentral describes it as "long non-coding RNA (MACU_LNC003967)". Lineage: Eukaryota; Viridiplantae; Streptophyta; Magnoliopsida; Zingiberales; Musaceae. The record is from RNAcentral.
UUUUCUUGAAUGGACAAUAAUGCGUUUUGUGUCCAAGUUUGCAACAAAAGUUGUAUUUGCUUUGGUGUUGAACAUGUAAGAUGGGGCCUUUUAUGAAGGUGGUUGGAUUUUGGUGAGGACUUCUCACAAAUCCGAUUCCACUUCUUUUGGGAACGUGACCCUUGUUUGCAAGGAUCAUGUUCAGUGACUUGCUACCAACCUCGAAUUUCUUCAAGGUGUCCUUAAGUAGCAAGUUUUCCUUUUGGAGAGUUUCUAGAUCAUGGCAUUU